CCUACGGGAGGCAGCAGUGAGGAAUAUUGGUCAAUGGACGAGAGUCUGAACCAGCCAAGUAGCGUGAAGGAUGACUGCCCUAUGGGUUGUAAACUUCUUUUAUAAAGGAAUAAAACGAGGCACGUGUGCCUUUUUGCAUGUACUUUAUGAAUAAGGAUCGGCUAACUCCGUGCCAGCAGCCGCGGUAAUACGGAGGAUCCGAGCGUUAUCCGGAUUUAUUGGGUUUAAAGGGAGCGUAGAUGGGUUGUUAAGUCAGUUGUGAAAGUUUGCGGCUCAACCGUAAAAUUGCAAUUGAUACUGGCAGUCGUGAGGACAGUUGAGGUAGGCGGAAUUCGUGGUGUAGCGGUGAAAUGCUUAGAUAUCACGAAGAACCCCGAUUGCGAAGGCAGCUUACUAAACUGUGACUGACAUUGAUGCUCGAAAGUGUGGGUAUCAAACAGGAUUAGAGACCCUUGUAGUC
RNAcentral lists this ribosomal RNA (460 nucleotides) under uncultured bacterium. RNAcentral describes it as "partial 16S ribosomal RNA". It matches the Rfam family "Bacterial small subunit ribosomal RNA", at positions 338 to 795 of the family's 1533-position model. The record is from RNAcentral.